AUGGGCUGGAGAUAUCACUGUCUUCCUAGACAUCCAAUCAUAGGCCUACUCAACUUCAUCGACGGGCUAUGGUCGGCAAGCGGCGGUGAGCGGAUCAUCAUCUUCACCACCAACCACAAGGAGAAGCUGGACCCGGCGCUAAUCCGGCGGGGUAGGAUGGACAAGCACAUCGAGAUGUCCUACUGCCGCUUCGAGGGCUUCAAGGUGCUCGCCAAGAACUACCUAGACGUGACCGAGCAUGUGUUGUUCGGCGAGAUCCGGCAGCUGCUCGAAGAGACCGAUAUGUCACCGGCCGACGUGGCAGAGAACCUGAUGCCCAUGUCAAAGAAGAAAAAGAAGGACCCAAACAUGUGCUUGGCAGGCCUCAUCGCGGCGCUCAAACAGGCCAAGAAAGACGCGGUGACGGUUGCGGCAGCGGCAAAGGCGAAGGAGGAAGAGGAGGCAGAAGCAAAGAAAACCAAGGAGAAAGAGGAACCCAAGGAAGACAAAUGA
Molecule: ribosomal RNA, 492 nt
Filed under: Triticum aestivum (bread wheat)
Lineage: Eukaryota; Viridiplantae; Streptophyta; Magnoliopsida; Poales; Poaceae
Description: partial small subunit ribosomal RNA
Source: RNAcentral